RNAcentral lists this ribosomal RNA (791 nucleotides) under uncultured Verrucomicrobiota bacterium. RNAcentral describes it as "bacterial SSU rRNA". It matches the Rfam family "Bacterial small subunit ribosomal RNA", at positions 58 to 827 of the family's 1533-position model. The record is from RNAcentral. Lineage: Bacteria; Pseudomonadati; Verrucomicrobiota.
CAAGUCGAACGAGACUUUUCGUUGUAGCAAUAUGAUGAAAAGUUUAGUGGCGAACGGGUGCUUAACACGUGGGCAACCUGCCAUGAAGUGGGGGAUAGCUCGCCGAAAGGCGAAUUAAUACCGCAUGUGAUUAGAGAGGACAUCCUUUCAAAAUUAAAGUCGGGGCAACCUGACGCUUCUUGUGGGGCCCGCGGCCUAUCAGCUAGUUGGUGAGGUAACGGCUCACCAAGGCUUUGACGGGUAGCUGGUCUGAGAGGACGACCAGCCACACUGGGACUGAGACACGGCCCAGACACCUACGGGUGGCAGCAGUCGAGAAUUUUUGACAAUGGGGGAAACCCUGAUCGAGCGACGCCGCGUGGAGGAUGAAGGUCUUCGGAUUGUAAACUCCUGUCAUUGGGGAACAAGGUACAUACGUUAACUGCGUGCGUAUUGAUAGUACCCGAAGAGGAAGAGACGGCUAACUCUGUGCCAGCAGCCGCGGUAAUACAGAGGUCUCAAGCGUUGUUCGGAUUCAUUGGGCGUAAAGGGUGCGUAGGCGGCGCGGUAAGUCGGGUGUGAAAUCUCGGAGCUUAACUCCGAAACUGCAUUCGAUACUGCCGUGCUUGAGGACUGGAGAGGAGACUGGAAUUUACGGUGUAGCGGUGAAAUGCGUAGAUAUCGUAAGGAAGACCAGUGGCGAAGGCGGGUCUCUGGACAGUUCCUGACGCUGAGGCACGAAGGUCAGGGGAGCAAACGGGAUUAGAUACCCCGGUAGUCCUGACAGUAAACGGUGCACGUUUGGUGGUGGG